UACGGAGGGGGGCUAGCGUUGUUCGGAAUUACUGGGCGUAAAGCGCACGUAGGCGGCUUUGUAAGUUAGAGGUGAAAGCCCGGGGCUCAACUCCGGAAUUGCCUUUAAGACUGCAUCGCUAGAAUUGUGGAGAGGUAAGUGGAAUUCCGAGUGUAGAGGUGAAAUUCGUAGAUAUUCGGAAGAACACCAGUGGCGAAGGCGACUUACUGGACACAUAUUGACGCUGAGGUGCGAAAGCGUGGGGAGCAAACAGGG
Molecule: ribosomal RNA, 255 nt
Filed under: uncultured bacterium
Lineage: Bacteria
Description: partial 16S ribosomal RNA
Rfam family: Bacterial small subunit ribosomal RNA
Source: RNAcentral